GGACCCGCACAAGUAGUGGAGCAUGUGGUUUAAUUCGAAGAUACGCGCAGAACCUUACCAACACUUGACAUGUUCGUCGCGACUCUAAGAGAUUAGAGUUUUCGGUUCGGCCGGACGAAACACAGGUGCUGCAUGGCUGUCGUCAGCUCGUGUCGUGAGAUGUUGGGUUAAGUCCCGCAACGAGCGCAACCCUCACUUUUAGUUGCCAUCAUUAAGUUGGGCACUCUGAAAGAACUGCCAGUGAUAAGCUGGAGGAAGGUGGGGAUGACGUCAAGUCCUCAUGGCCCUUACGUGUUGGGCUACACACGUGCUACAAUGGUAUCUACAACAGGAAGCAAGACUGCGAAGUUAAGCAAAUCCCCAAAAGUUAUCUCAGUUCGGAUUGCACUCUGCAACUCGAGUGCAUGAAGUUGGAAUU
This 418-nucleotide ribosomal RNA is filed under the name uncultured bacterium. RNAcentral's name for it is "bacterial SSU rRNA". It matches the Rfam family "Bacterial small subunit ribosomal RNA", at positions 917 to 1333 of the family's 1533-position model. The record is from RNAcentral.